UGAAUCUUAAGAUAGUGUUUGCAGCCAGCCU
RNAcentral lists this non-coding RNA (31 nucleotides) under Rattus norvegicus (Norway rat). Lineage: Eukaryota; Metazoa; Chordata; Mammalia; Rodentia; Muridae. The record is from RNAcentral.